This 443-nucleotide ribosomal RNA is filed under the name uncultured bacterium. Its description in RNAcentral is "partial 16S ribosomal RNA". It matches the Rfam family "Bacterial small subunit ribosomal RNA", at positions 338 to 795 of the family's 1533-position model. The record is from RNAcentral.
CCUACGGGGGGCAGCAGUGGGGAAUAUUGGGCAAUGGGCGCAAGCCUGACCCAGCAACGCCGCGUGAAGGAAGAAGGCUCUCGGGUUGUAAACUUCUUUUAUCAGGGACGAAGCAAGUGACGGUACCUGAUGAAUAAGCCACGGCUAACUACGUGCCAGCAGCCGCGGUAAUACGUAGGUGGCAAGCGUUAUCCGGAUUUACUGGGUGUAAAGAGCGUGUAGGCGGGAAAGCAAGUCAGAUGUGAAAACCAUGGGCUCAACCUGUGGCCUGCAUUUGAAACUGUUUUUCUUGAGUACUGGAGAGGCAGACGGAAUUCCUAGUGUAGCGGUGAAAUGCGUAGAUAUUAGGAGGAACACCAGUGGCGAAGGCGGUCUGCUGGACAGCAACUGACGCUGAGGCGCGAAAGCGUGGGGAGCAAACAAGAUUAGAUACCCCUGUAGUC